This is a non-coding RNA of Hydra vulgaris (swiftwater hydra), 1493 nucleotides long. The record is from RefSeq and is a predicted model, not a curated record. NCBI's taxonomy places the organism in Eukaryota, Metazoa, Cnidaria, Hydrozoa, Anthoathecata, Hydridae.
GAGCUUUUCGACAAAACGACGAAAGAUAAUAGCUGAUGUUGAAUAUUGCCUAAAAGAUCUAACCAUUAAAUCAAGCAAUAUUUCACAUUCACCAGAAGAAGUACAAUCAUUGUAUUUAAAAAGUAUAUCAGAUCGAAAACUUUCAACUGAGAGUGUUAUUCCCUCAGGUGCAAAUAAUAUUGAUUGUGAAGUGAACUCUGACAGUAAUCUAUUGAUAUUAAAUAUUGGCAUUAGACAAGAUAAUAGCUGUGGCAAGUAAAGGAGGCCAGACUUUAAAGGAGGCUGUCCAGAGAAUGUCUUUUGCGUUAUUCACUAAUAACCUCUGCUGUAAACUUAACUGGUCUGGUAUUACUAUAAAUGACAAUGAAAGUAACUUUGUAAAACAAAGACUUACACUUGCUUAAAAGAGCUGUAAAAAGAAAUCCUGCAACAACUUCAGCAACUGAAUCAGAUUUUCAAUAUGAGGUUGUGCGUUUUUUGCGUGGUGCAUCAGACCGCAAUGGCGGAAAAAAAGUUAGACAAGACCAAAAAAACAAACAAGCCAAGAAAAAAGUAAUGCCUACAUCAAGUUUUCCAAUGCCAUUAAAUAAAGAGUAACCUUUUGUAUAUGAGAUUGUAGAUGAAAAUUUAAAUCGUGAUAUUGAAUUAUACCAGAGAAUAAAGAAACCGUUUACCUCAACCAAAGUUAUAUUUCAUAGAAUUAUGUUGACCAUGAUCCAAAUAUUGCCAUGGGUAUAAGAUAGAUGUUUGAUUUGCAAACUGGAUUUAAAUCAUAUUUUCUUUAAACAUAUUUAUUUACUCUUUAUAUGCUUACAAAUAAUUUAUUAGAAAAAAUUAUAUACUUAUUUACUAAACCGUUUUAUUUCAAUCAAUUAUUUGAUUUUUUAUAUUUUUCAAGGAGUUUUUAUAGUAUAUUAUAUUGGGCUAUGUUUUUUUUUUUGUAUGGUGAAAACUAUGUUCAAUUUACAAACUAUAUUUUAGUUUAUCAAAAUAUAUUUUUAUUGAUGUGUUUUGCCUCUGAUUCUUUCUUUUUCAGAUGUGCACUUGUGUCUUAGGCUUAUGCUUUGCAAAAGGUUCAACAUCGCCCUUAAGUUGCUGAGGGUUUUACGGUUUUACUUCCAACCUGGCAUAUAAAUGCACUUAGUAUCUGAAGUUAUUUGUCAAUAACUGGUGAUCAGACUAUUUCAAACGAAUACGUUUUUAAGGGCUGAGAAGGUGAAAAAUAGAAGUCUGCAGACUGCAACGUAAAUCAAUUUUCAACACAUGGUUUCCUGAAUAUAUUUAGUUUUCGAUUGAAAUGAGAAUAAACUGAACUUAUAGAUAUGUUGAAAAUUAACUAUUUUAUAUUUUAAACAUUCGCUAAACGCAAGUGAAGCAAUAAUCUAUAGAUGCAAUUAUACUUUAUAUUUUGUUUUAGUUUAAAAAAAAAUUAUUGUUACUUUUAUAUUCAUGUUGUAAUUGUAAAUUGCAAUCUUAAAAUGAUUUUUAUUAUA